This 181-nucleotide unclassified non-coding RNA is filed under the name Paraglomus sp. Its description in RNAcentral is "partial internal transcribed spacer region". The stretch from base 1 to 46 matches the Rfam family "Eukaryotic small subunit ribosomal RNA", at positions 1786 to 1831 of the family's 1831-position model. The record is from RNAcentral. Lineage: Eukaryota; Fungi; Glomeromycota; Glomeromycetes; Paraglomerales; Paraglomeraceae.
AAGUCGUAACAAGGUUUCCGUAGGUGAACCUGCGGAAGGAUCAUUAAAACAAUAAUGAAUGUCGGGGAGGGCGCUUCGGUGCAAUCCCGUGUAUUCAACCAAACCCGCUCGUGUAUUUGGAUCAAAAAAAUUUUAACGAUAAUAAUUAAACAAACUUUCAACAACGGAUCUCUUGGCUCUC